ACGAACGCUGGCGGCAUGCCUAAUACAUGCAAGUCGAGCGAAUGAUGAAGAAGCUUGCUUCUCUGAUUAGCGGCGGACGGGUGAGUAACACGUGGGCAACCUACCCUAUAGAUUGGGAUAACACAGGGAAACCUGUGCUAAUACCGAAUAAUACAUUUUCUUUCAUGAGGAGAUGUUGAAAGAUGGUUUCGGCUAUCACUAUAGGAUGGGCCCGCGGCGCAUUAGCUAGUUGGUGAGGUAAUGGCUCACCAAGGCAACGAUGCGUAGCCGACCUGAGAGGGUGAUCGGCCACACUGGGACUGAGACACGGCCCAGACUCCUACGGGAGGCAGCAGUAGGGAAUCUUCCACAAUGGGCGAAAGCCUGAUGGAGCAAUGCCCGCGUGAGUGAUGAAGGAUUUCGGUUCGUAAAACUCUGUUGUAAGGGAAGAACAAGUAGCGUAGUAACUGGCGUUACCUUGACGGUACCUUAUUAGAAAGCCACGGCUAACUACGUGCCAGCCGCCGC
Molecule: ribosomal RNA, 507 nt
Filed under: uncultured bacterium
Lineage: Bacteria
Description: bacterial SSU rRNA
Rfam family: Bacterial small subunit ribosomal RNA
Source: RNAcentral